CCUACGGGGGGCUGCAGUGGGGAAUAUUGGACAAUGGGGGCAACCCUGAUCCAGCCAUGCCGCGUGUGUGAAGAAGGCCUUAGGGUUGUAAAGCACUUUCAGUGGGGAGAAAAGUUGUUUACUUAAUACGUAAGCAAAUUGAUGUUACCCACAGAAGAAGCACCGGCUAACUCCGUGCCAGCAGCCGCGGUAAUACGGAGGGUGCAAGCGUUAAUCGGAAUUACUGGGCGUAAAGCGCACGUAGGUGGUUUGUUAAGCCAGCUGUGAAAUCCCCG
This 275-nucleotide ribosomal RNA is filed under the name uncultured Cellvibrio sp. Its description in RNAcentral is "partial 16S ribosomal RNA". It matches the Rfam family "Bacterial small subunit ribosomal RNA", at positions 338 to 605 of the family's 1533-position model. Lineage: Bacteria; Pseudomonadati; Pseudomonadota; Gammaproteobacteria; Cellvibrionales; Cellvibrionaceae. The record is from RNAcentral.